AAAAUAUUAAAAUUAAACUCCAUAUUGCUGGCAGAUCAAGACCAGAGGGCUUUUGUUAAUCUGAUUUGGUUAACCGCGAUGUAAACAGCUAACAAGCGAAAGAGGCGCGAAGCAUUGCGGGAUAGCGUUUUUUCACGGCCUGUUCAGCCGAAGCCGCCAUUACAGGCAUCGAAGCCAGAAAAUUCAGCGCGAUCAUCGGUAUCUCACUGUGGCCAAUUUUAAUUUGAGGCCGAAUGUGCGCAGGUUCAUCGGGACCGGUAAUCAAGGUAGCCAAGGGAAUCAAAGCAGGCCGAGGAGAUGGAGACGAAGGCGCUGGCCCCGAAUGGCGGACGUGAACGAAACUGUCCCACUAGACUACACCCAAACCGCAAGCGUGCCGGAAUCGUGAACUAUUCGCCUGUGCUUCAGAAGUGGCUGAUGUCGGAGGAUUUAUUGCAAAGAAAAAUACUGUGAUAAGUGAUGGAAAGUAUUUUUUCUGUGUUGUGAUAUGUGUUCAUGAAAAUCGGCAUAUUUUGAAAAUAAAAAAGUUAAAACUCAACUCCAUGUUUCCAUUGCUCAGAAAUCACCAAAAGCAGCAAAAAAAUGAAUGAAAACCCCCUCCCCCAAAACCCCCAUAAUCACCUCUAAAAUCAUGUGAUGGUCACAUUCUGAGAAGGUAGGUGCUGCGUGA
Molecule: long non-coding RNA, 670 nt
Organism: Culex pipiens pallens (northern house mosquito)
Lineage: Eukaryota; Metazoa; Arthropoda; Insecta; Diptera; Culicidae
Exons: 3
Source: RefSeq, a predicted model, not a curated record